RNAcentral lists this ribosomal RNA (731 nucleotides) under uncultured bacterium. RNAcentral describes it as "bacterial SSU rRNA". It matches the Rfam family "Bacterial small subunit ribosomal RNA", at positions 771 to 1501 of the family's 1533-position model. The record is from RNAcentral.
AACAGGAUUAGAUACCCUGGUAGUCCACGCUGUAAACGAUGUCGACUUGGAGGUUGUGCCCUUGAGGCGUGGCUUCCGGAGCUAACGCGUUAAGUCGACCGCCUGGGGAGUACGGCCGCAAGGUUAAAACUCAAAUGAAUUGACGGGGGCCCGCACAAGCGGUGGAGCAUGUGGUUUAAUUCGAUGCAACGCGAAGAACCUUACCUACUCUUGACAUCCAGAGAAUUUAGCAGAGAUGCUUUAGUGCCUUCGGGAACUCUGAGACAGGUGCUGCAUGGCUGUCGUCAGCUCGUGUUGUGAAAUGUUGGGUUAAGUCCCGCAACGAGCGCAACCCUUAUCCUUUGUUGCCAGCGCGUAAUGGCGGGAACUCAAAGGAGACUGCCGGUGAUAAACCGGAGGAAGGUGGGGAUGACGUCAAGUCAUCAUGGCCCUUACGAGUAGGGCUACACACGUGCUACAAUGGCAUAUACAAAGAGAAGCGAACUCGCGAGAGCAAGCGGACCUCAUAAAGUAUGUCGUAGUCCGGAUUGGAGUCUGCAACUCGACUCCAUGAAGUCGGAAUCGCUAGUAAUCGUAGAUCAGAAUGCUACGGUGAAUACGUUCCCGGGCCUUGUACACACCGCCCGUCACACCAUGGGAGUGGGUUGCAAAAGAAGUAGGUAGCUUAACCUUCGGGAGGGCGCUUACCACUUUGUGAUUCAUGACUGGCGUGAAGUCGUAACAAGGUAACC